AGAGGUCAGUUCAGAAAAAAGGGGCUGGGCUCUGUGCUUUUUUUAGAAUACAAUAUUCAAAUAAUCUAGCUAGCUCGCUAGCUAGCUCGCUAGCAUACAGGCUAGGCAGUAAGAGAGUAGCGAGCUAGCAUGCAGGCAGUAAGAGAGUAUCACAGAUAGAAGAGGAAGAGGGAUUGGAAUCAAGGCACAUAGCUGCAGAACGGAAGAACCCAUACAGCAGCUUUAUCCAUCAGGGGAAAAGUGUGUGCUCUAAGUUUUUCCGAUUUCUCUUUGCUGCAGCCAAAUCCCAUGAACCAGUUGGACGUGCUCCAAGAUAUUUAUGGCUGCUCUGAGAGACGUUCUAGGUAUAGCUGAUCUAAACAAGAAAAGCCAUCUUUUCUCAGCAAUCAGGAUAUCUAGAAGAGCUGCUAGAAGCCAGGAAAGCUGCUCGACAUGAAGGGCCACUAAUGCGAAUCGAGAGGAUAAAGUUCAUCCGUCGUGUAGUCGGGGAACCAGAGAGUGUAGCCAAAAGAAUGACUUUGGUAUUAAAGGUAAGUUAACAUUGUUAAUUAGUCUCUUUCUUCAACAGGCCCACCAAGAAAUAGAUCACCAGUGUUCUUGCAAACACUGGCAGCUGGUAUGAAAGUCAACAACCUCACUGUGGCUGAUGUUGCUUAUCCCCUAAUUACGAAGAAGGUGAUAAACGUGUUCCAGUUGCAGCUCAUUCACGUGCGCAAUGGCUGCAUCGUACCAUAUUAUCAAGGACAAAUCAAAGAGCAUCCAUGGAGCAAUAUUGCCCAGCCGGAUACACUGCAACUGAUGGUGGAGGGAGCAAAUAUGAAGUAAUGAAACAGUUAAUGGAUUUAUUCGGUGACGUCCAGCCUGGAGAAAACUGGUCAAUCGUACCAUAUUAUCAAAGACAAAUCAAAGAGCACCCAUGGAACAAUAUUGUCCAGCCGGAUACUCUGCAACUAGAUGGUGGAGCAAAUAUGAAGUAAUGAAACAGUUAAUGGAUUUAUUCGGUGACAUCCAGCCUGGAGAAAACUGGUCAAUCGUACCAUAUUAUCAAGGACAAAUCAAAGAGCACCCAUGGAACAAUAUUGUCCAACCGGAUACUCUGCAACUAGAUGGUGGAGCAAAUAUGAAGUAUAAUGAAACAGUUAAUGGAUGUAUUCGGUGACAUCCACCUGUUAUGUUUGAUGAAAUUGGAGAGCCCAGUACCAGCUAUAGACAUGGAGCAGUUAAUUUUGUUCUACUUUGCUGAGCAUCUUACAUUAUACGUAUAUCUACCAAGCGCUUUCCAAUAAGAUCUGCCCUCUCUUGACAGAUGCACAGGUCCUCCGAGGGCAAUAGUGCAUGCGGCAGCCUUGUGGCAGUCUACCUUUAAUGUGAAGCUGCCCUUGAUGCUCCGUAUUGGGAGAGAGAGAGCACCCCAGGCGCAAAAAGUUUCUAGUUGCCUUGAACCAAGCACAAUACACUGAGUCAUACUGCGUAAUGGACAGGGUUGGCCAGUGUAUUGCAAGCUACUUGCAUGGAAAGAGAAGGGGUUUUCAAGUGGACAAAAAAAUGAGUUUUCGUGUUGCGAAGAGAGUUCCUUGCCAAAUGAAAUGCAAGUAUACAUAAUUAUUAGGAAAACUUCUGUCACAGUAUAUAUAUGUGUUCAUUUUAAUCUAGAAUGUGUACCUUAUACAAUGUCUGUCGGCAGUGCUUUGACAUAUCGAAGACUUCAAGAUUGUUCUAAACAAGCUGCAUAAGUACUGACCGAUUAAAGGGUGGAUACUGAAACUCAAACGGAGUUGAUGUUAUGUACAUUGCAAGAAAAAACAUGGAUUCUGUUUCCAUGCAGAGUAAGUCUACGAAUAACAUUAAUUUAACAGAAUUUAACACCAGCACAUGUGAAAGUAAUGAAGGUACUACAUGGUUACAAACCACAUACCUGAAUAGUGACGACAAGCGUUUCACUUUCUGCUGAUGAACCGUGUCACCGUGAAAACAUUGGGGAACACUUUUUUAGUGUCAUAUUGUUUGUGAAAAUGGAUGUGGUCAGUUGCUAGGCAACGAUUAUUGUG
Long non-coding RNA from Halichondria panicea, 2048 nucleotides. RefSeq lists it as uncharacterized. The record is from RefSeq and is a predicted model, not a curated record. NCBI's taxonomy places the organism in Eukaryota, Metazoa, Porifera, Demospongiae, Suberitida, Halichondriidae. The transcript is spliced from 3 exons.